Long non-coding RNA from Eucalyptus grandis, 2548 nucleotides. RefSeq lists it as uncharacterized. NCBI's taxonomy places the organism in Eukaryota, Viridiplantae, Streptophyta, Magnoliopsida, Myrtales, Myrtaceae. The record is from RefSeq and is a predicted model, not a curated record. The transcript has 2 exons.
UUGGCAAAAAGUUUCUCUCUCCUCAGACGGGCUCUCUCACGAACUCUCUGGAGGGUGGGGUUCGCUCUCUGGGGGGAUUUUCUCUGGACGGAGCAUUCGAAGGAUCCCUCUCAAAAAAGAAAAAACGGCCGAACGGUCUCUCGGACUCUCUCUCUCUCUGAUCGGUUCAUCAUCUGGUGAGUUGAAAACCCUUGAUUGGAUCUCUGGAUCCAAUCGGGAAUCGGUGAAGCAGCUCUGUUCGAUUCCCUAUCGUCGCAAAUCGUGCCGGACGCCGUCGAAGAGCAGCGUCGCCGCCACCGCCGAUUGGAGGAUCUCGGAUCUCACCGCCUCGCGUGGCUCGGCCGGAUUGACGGACGCUCUCAAAGGGAUCUCUCUUUGGAUUAGUGAGAGUUCAAUCGUUCUUUCGGAGGCUCCUUCUCUGUCGAAGCUUAGCUCGAGGUUUCUCAAUCGGUAGUAGGUAUGUUUGAAGCAGUCGGCUGUGCAGUAACUUUGGGCCUCUGCUUCAAUUGUAAGUUUACUCCUGACUCGUUGCUUUGUCCGACAUGAUGCCAUUGUCCACACCUUGUAAUGGCCAUCCACUAUGGUUCGUUUCUUCUGUUCUCUGAUCCUGUUUUGAAGGUGUAGGAUUGAUCGGUUGAUUAUGUAUAGGUUCUUAGGUCAGUACAGAUUGUGAAUAUGUCUAGUUCUCGUAGAAAGUUAUGUAUGGCUGCAACUUCACCCAAGUAGUUGGAUAUUGCUCACCUAAGGUUCGUGAGCUUGUGAAUUGUGGUUAGCUGAAUGUUACAUUUGGUGAUCCUCUGUGUCAUUGAUGUCGGCUCUUGGAAUGCAUCAAAGUAGUUGGAUACUGCUCACGUAUACAUCUGGUUGUGGAUCAUGCAGUGUAGCUGUGCCGAUAUCCCUACGUUUAAUGCAUCUGUGUACUGAUGUACACAUGCACAAGUGCUUUAACUUUUGGUCAAUCAAAACUUCUUCCUUUGUUCAGCCUUGCUCUUUGGAUGGCAUGUCACUGCAUUUGCGAGGCUAUAUGUUAAUCUGUUCUAGGAUUUUGGAGGUUAAUGAGUCAAUGUGAUUAAUAGAUUGAUUUGGCAAUUAAACGCAGAAAUUAAUGGAAGAAAUCAGCUAGAAAAAUAAUUCUGAUUUCUUAAAGCUUUGAAUCAGUAGGGUGCCUAUUAAAAUUGAAGUUCAUUUGCUGUGAGAAACAAGCCACUAAAUCUAGGAGCUGAAUCUGGGAAUUUUGACUUCAAUUCUUCAAUGAUAGUUUCUGGCAUGAUCUGUGUUUGUUCUCUAAUCAUACGUUGUCUUGAAUAUAUUGAUAUAAUCUACUGAGGUUAAUGAAUUUCUGUGGAUUGAUGAUCAAUGAUCAUGAACUUGAAAUUGAUUGAACUUGAUUUACCUUGAUAUGUCACUUUCUGUUUUGGCUUAAAUGAGGUGAUAGAUGAGGCUUUCUGGUCUUGAGCCCUUUUAGACAUAGCAAAUAGACUUCUCAAGCUUCGAUUUGAUAUGUCACACGCCCUGAAUAGACAUCAUCCGGUCAUCGAAAAAUACCGACAGUCUGUCAAUUCUGCAGUAGUUUUUUUUUAGGUUGAUUUGCUGUUUUGACCUGCUGCAAUUUUCUGUUUUAACCGGAACGAGCUGGAAGAUGUUGUUAUUAGGACUUAAUGUCUUCUAGAGAUUUGUAAUAGGCUUCUCAAAAUUUCCAUUGACAUAUUAUAUGUGCGAUUUGGUCAUCAUUUGCCCUGCCUUUCCUUUUUUCAAAUCGAGCUUUGAAAUCUGGAAUUUGUCUUGAACUGUAAUGCUGUCUUUUCUGUGGAUAGUUGUUGUUAGUCUUAAGAUGAGAUAGUAGAUUUGCCCAAAUUUCCUUCAAUAUGUUGUAGAAUGACGGUGUGACAUGUUACUAUGAUCUAUUCUUGAUUGAUUUGUUCAUGUUCUUAAUAUUUUUUUAGAAAUUCAUGCGUUAGGAAUCUUGAGGUGCUUCCUUCAUGGAAUGACAUCCUUUAUCAAUUGUCUACAAAACAGUUUUAGGUAUCAUGUGGGUUACACAUUGAUUGCUCCAUUUGCCUUAAAUACACAUGUUGAGUGAAUUCAAUGGUGCAUGUUUUGGAAUAAGUGAUCUUUAGUUGGUUCAUUCAUUGUUUUGGGUUGAUUGAGGACCAAGGUCAUAUGGCUUGAAUGUUUGUCAUGUUAUAUGCUUUGUGUGUGAUCGUUAUAUAGAUGAUUUAGGUGUAAUACAUAAUGAUGCUAAAUCUUGAGAUUUCACUUAGAAUUUGAUCUAGAAGACUUUGUGACUUCAGUCACUCUUUGUGAACAUAAAAGAAUGUCUUGCUUUUGAUUGUUUCGAUACGUGAUGAUUGUUUCUUUCAUUUGUAUGCAUCUAAUCAUCCAGAUUUUCUAGAUUAGGUUUAGAAUAGGAUCCAAAAAGUGGAUAAGAAGUGAAGAUGGUGGAGGUCGAUGUUCACUCCGACCGUUAUUCUGUAAUAUUCAUUUUUCUCCCGACAUAUGUCUCGGGUUCCUUGUGUUGUAUAAAACCCGACGAGUUGCGGGUUUUCCC